This 997-nucleotide long non-coding RNA is filed under the name Zea mays. RNAcentral's name for it is "long non-coding RNA (ZMAY_LNC005164)". Lineage: Eukaryota; Viridiplantae; Streptophyta; Magnoliopsida; Poales; Poaceae. The record is from RNAcentral.
UAAGAGCUGCUACACGUGAGAGGAUCCUGCACCCGAUGAAUGUAAAGGUUUCACUGUGAAGAUAUAAGCAGCCAUCUCUAGGUGGGUGAUUAACUGAUUAUUUGCACUGAAGACCCAUCCUCUAAAACUUACUUAUAAGCUUGAUUUUCUAAUAUUGGAGCUUUCAAGGGAAGCACUGAUUUUGUUAUUACCUUAUAACAGCUGAGUUUUGCAUCCUAGAUCAUGCCAAAAGGCAGUCUAGGCCCAGUGCUGAUCUUGUAUUCAUGCAUGCACAUAAUGAUAUAAUAAUACUAUUAUAGUAUAUGCCUCCAGAGACAGUUAAGGCUGAACAUAUUUUUUUGAGAAUAGAUGGAUUUGAUCACAGUUGUUCUCGAAGAACCGAAACAGUCUGUCUGAUCCAAGCAACCACAUUUCAAUCUAGCUCGCCUUAAAUUAAUUCAAGAGAGGUGGUUCAACGAUAUAGUAAAAACUACAUGUUCUUCUGAAUCAUUUUCUCAUCAUUGCUUAAGUACUUACCAAUGUUCUUUGAAAGCUACCAAUGUUCUCUAACCACAGUUUAAUCUGUGUCAUAUCGAAUAUUUGUAUUAAAAAAACACCUCAUCAACAAUGGCUGCGAGCUCAAGAUUUAUUUUGGUUAACUUUGCAUGUGUCGUAUGCAUCCCCGUAUACAAUGAAUUCAGAUGCCGAUUUCUUUUUGGUGGAUGGAACAUGACAUAGGGAAUAUUUAUGGAGGUUUUAUACUCACAUUCUUGUAUUUGUUGUUUGCAGCCUCAUGAAACUUGCAGUUUGAACACAUGGUUGUUCCCUUGGCUUUUGUAGAUGAAGUGGAGCAGCACUUGUAGUUUUGUAAGGUUUAUGUAUAUAACUGUGUGGAUUGCAAUAGCCCUAAUACCAUGUAUAUACCUCUCGCUGUGGUUACGUACAACACCUAAUGUAGGCUUGGAUCAUGUCAUCUUAUUUUGGAUCAGUUUCCUGCUGUAUUAGGCCUGCUCAUUAC